Molecule: ribosomal RNA, 264 nt
Filed under: uncultured archaeon
Lineage: Archaea
Description: partial 16S ribosomal RNA
Rfam family: Archaeal small subunit ribosomal RNA
Source: RNAcentral
ACACGACUACAUUAGAUACCCGUGUAGUCCUAGCCGUAAACGAUACUCGCUAGGUGUCGGCCACGGUGCGACCGUUGUCGGUGCCGUAGGGAAGCCGUGAAGCGAGCCACCUGGGAAGUACCGGCCGCAAGGCUGAAACUUAAAGGAAUUGGCGGGGAGCACCACAAGAGGUGGAGGCUGCGGUUCAAUUGGACUCAACGCCGGAAACUCAUCGGGAGCGACAGCAGUAUGAUUGCCAGGUUGAUGACCUUGCUUGACAAGCUG